RNAcentral lists this ribosomal RNA (464 nucleotides) under uncultured bacterium. RNAcentral describes it as "partial 16S ribosomal RNA". It matches the Rfam family "Bacterial small subunit ribosomal RNA", at positions 28 to 506 of the family's 1533-position model. The record is from RNAcentral.
GAUGAACGCUGGCGGCGUGCUUAACACAUGCCAGUCGAACGGAAAGGCUCCUGCUUGCAGGGGUACUCGAGUGGCGAACGGGUGAGUAACACGUGGGUGAUCUGCCCUGCACUUCGGGAUAAGCCUGGGAAACUGGGUCUAAUACCGGAUAGGACGAUGGUUUGGAUGCCAUUGUGGAAAGUUUUUCGGUGUGGGAUGAGCUCGCGGCCUAUCAGCUUGUUGGUGGGGUAAUGGCCUACCAAGGCGUCGACGGGUAGCCGGCCUGAGAGGGUGUACGGCCACAUGGGGAUGGAGAAACGGCCAAGACCCCUACGGGAGGGAGGAGGGGGGAAUAUGGAAAAAGGGGCGGAAGCCGGAUGCAGGGACGCCGGGGGGGGGAGGACGGCCUUCGGGUGGGAAACCCCUUUCGCUGGGGACGAAGCGAAAGGGAGGGUCCCUGGGGAAGAAGCAACGGCUAACUAGGU